GGAAGACCAGGGUGACCAGUGGCUCCAACCACCGUCCUGCUUGACUGAAGGCCACAAAGACAGGGCUGUUAUCAAUGGUCGCAGACUAAAAUGCAUCAAGACGUGAUUGGAUGGAGCAGCAACCAACCAGAGCGACAACAAACACUGUCCAAACCCACCUUGGCCUGGUUCUGUCAGGGAGGAUUAAAACGGUACGGAAAAGAUUCCUAAGAGCUGGAGAAAAUCACUGUAUCACUGCCCAGACCGGACAAGUAUGCUUUGAUGCAGGGAGGCCGCCUCCGAGAAAAAUGGAGGUUC
Molecule: non-coding RNA, 297 nt
Organism: Paralichthys olivaceus (Japanese flounder)
Lineage: Eukaryota; Metazoa; Chordata; Actinopteri; Pleuronectiformes; Paralichthyidae
Source: RefSeq, a predicted model, not a curated record